Molecule: unclassified non-coding RNA, 220 nt
Filed under: uncultured Tomentella
Lineage: Eukaryota; Fungi; Basidiomycota; Agaricomycetes; Thelephorales; Thelephoraceae
Description: sequence contains ITS2
Source: RNAcentral
ACACCUCAACUCUCACGGUUUGCCGUGAUGAGCUUGGACUUUGGAGGUUUUUGCUGGCCCAUGGUUGGCUCCUCUCAAACAAAUUAGCUUGCCAGUUUUCGGUGGCGUCACAGGUGUGAUAACUAUCUACGCUCGUGGUCGUCCGCUGGGUAACCUUUCGGUGACGGAGGUUUGCUGGAGCUUAUAAAUGUCUCUCCUCAGCGAAGACAGCUAUUCGAAC